GACGAACGCUGGCGGCGUGCCUAAUACAUGCAAGUUGAGCGCUGAAGGUUGGUACUUGUACCAACUGGAUGAGCAGCGAACGGGUGAGUAACGCGUGGGGAAUCUGCCUUUGAGCGGGGGACAACAUUUGGAAACGAAUGCUAAUACCGCAUAAAAACUUUAAACACAAGUUUUAAGUUUGAAAGAUGCAAUUGCAUCACUCAAAGAUGAUCCCGCGUUGUAUUAGCUAGUUGGUGAGGUAAAGGCUCACCAAGGCGAUGAUACAUAGCCGACCUGAGAGGGUGAUCGGCCACAUUGGGACGGAGACACGGCCCAAACUCCUACGGGAGGCAGCAGUAGGGAAUCCUCGGCAAUGGACGAAAGUCUGACCGAGCAACGCCGCGUGAGUGAAGAAGGGUUUCGGAUCGUAAAACUCUGUUGGUAGAGAAGAACGUUGGUGAGAGUGGAAAGCUCAUCAAGUGACGGUAACUACCCAGAAAGGGACGGCUAACUACGUG
Molecule: ribosomal RNA, 497 nt
Filed under: uncultured bacterium
Lineage: Bacteria
Description: partial 16S ribosomal RNA
Rfam family: Bacterial small subunit ribosomal RNA
Source: RNAcentral